This 497-nucleotide ribosomal RNA is filed under the name uncultured bacterium. RNAcentral's name for it is "partial 16S ribosomal RNA". It matches the Rfam family "Bacterial small subunit ribosomal RNA", at positions 28 to 507 of the family's 1533-position model. The record is from RNAcentral.
GAUGAACGCUGGCGGCGUGCCUAAUACAUGCAAGUCGAGCGAACAGACGAGGAGCUUGCUCCUUUGACGUUAGCGGCGGACGGGUGAGUAACACGUAGGUAACCUACCUAUAAGACGGGGAUAACUUCGGGAAACCGGAGCUAAUACCGGAUAAUAUGUCGAACCGCAGGGUUCGAUAGUGAAAGAGGGCUUGGCUAUCACUUAUAGAUGGACCUGCGCCGUAUUAGCUAGUUGGUAAGGUAACGGCUUACCAAGGCAACGAUACGUAGCCGACCUGAGAGGGUGAUCGGCCACACUGGAACUGAGACACGGUCCAGACUCCUACGGGAGGCAGCAGUAGGGAAUCUUCGGCAAUGGGCGCAAGCCUGACGGAGCCACGCCGCGUGAGUGAUGAAGGUCUUCGGAUCGUAAAACUCUGUUAUUAGGGAAGAACAAACGUGUAAGUAACUGUGCACGUCUUGACGGUACCUAAUCAGAAAGCCCCGGCUAACUUCGUG